This 97-nucleotide microRNA precursor is filed under the name Loxodonta africana (African savanna elephant). RNAcentral's name for it is "mir-544 microRNA precursor family". It matches the Rfam family "mir-544 microRNA precursor family". The record is from Rfam by way of RNAcentral. Lineage: Eukaryota; Metazoa; Chordata; Mammalia; Proboscidea; Elephantidae.
AUCCCCUAGGGAUCUGGUUAAAAUGCAGAUUCUGACUCAGUGGGUCUGGGUGAGGCCUGGGACUCUGCAUUUCUAACAAGCUCCCAGGGAAUGCUGG